GCAGCCAACUAAGUUUCCAGUCGCAUCUGGGUGAUUAAUGACGAUCGCUCUACUCGGGCUGUUGCGAUGAAGAACCGAGAUAAGAGCCAGCUUUAAGCGGGGAAAAAUUGUCGUAUACGCGGGUAGGCUGUGAUCGGUAGAUAAACAUUUUCUACAUCGUAUAAUUCAAUGUUGGCGCAGUAUUUUAAAGUAAAUGUCUAUCCACCCGGAGCACACGAAGGACGUGUGUCAACGUGCUCACCGCGGUCGCCGAUAACAACCGAAUUCACAAGUUGUAGAGUUGAUUAGGUCAACUGAAGAUGGCGAAACGAAAGGUGAAAGAUCAACGCGGGGGGAUUCUCAAAUCGGAGUCUUCGAUUCGACGAUGAGUAGCGUGCAGCUGGAUUGCAGGUGAUUGGAAAAGGUGCGAAAUCCGGGAUAAUGGCAGCUAUAUAUGAUUCGGGGGCGAAAGUAGUAAAGAAGGUAGGCACGUGGCACAUAACGUGGCAAGUGUAUUCAACACAUGGCGAAAUGCCGCGUAGGCCGAUUACACGCGCGACGAAUGUAUAGAGCCUACUCGCCACGCGCGAUGUACUUGUCGUUGAAAUGCUGAGUUUAAUCUUCGAUACGUUCUUGCGGUUCUUGGUUUUAAUUGAUUAGGUGACCCCGAGAAGCAAAACAUGUCAUACUAUAACAUCCGUUCAAGCCGUAGCAUUUGCCGUAGAGUGGCUUCUAGACGUAUCGAAAAUCAUCUAGGUAUAUGCCAGAUGCGUAGUGUUCGGCAGAUUUGAUAAAUGCGACUAGCCGGCCAUCGGAUUGAUCGGCUCGCUUGUCGGUGCACUUUUGAACGCGUUAAUUAUGACGUCUGCAACUAUACUAUUUAGGAUUUUAUAUUUUCAGUACACAUGCUCAACAGAGCUAAUCUGCGAAUGAGAAAAAUUUGAGAAAGCACAAUUAUACAUAUAGAUCAUAUCAACAACGCUGAACGUCUUUAUUGUUGCAACAGUUCAACACGAUUAUAAUUGAGGCAUACCAGUGUCGAUAUCACCAUGAUCUACGAUGACGUGAAUUCCGACGCCCUCUUCUCGUAGGGAUAAUAAAUAAGAUCCGCCUAAAAAAAAUCGGUUAUUCUCACACAUUCCAAAAGUAAGACAUCCAAGUACGAGUGUACACCCAAAGUACGACUCGUAGUCACUUACAUAUACCUAUACCGCAUCUACUUCUUUCAAAUACCUAUUUUAUAUACUUUGAUAUAUAUAUGUACAUACACCAUUAACGUUUGUACACUAAACCGAAAGGCCAUUUAAUAAAUAUUGUACUAUGUAUCAAUAAAAUUGGACUAAUAAAUU
Molecule: long non-coding RNA, 1328 nt
Organism: Athalia rosae (coleseed sawfly)
Lineage: Eukaryota; Metazoa; Arthropoda; Insecta; Hymenoptera; Athaliidae
Exons: 2
Source: RefSeq, a predicted model, not a curated record